This 322-nucleotide ribosomal RNA is filed under the name Cercomonadidae sp. Its description in RNAcentral is "SSU rRNA". The stretch from base 106 to 322 matches the Rfam family "Eukaryotic small subunit ribosomal RNA", at positions 737 to 955 of the family's 1831-position model. RNAcentral also lists the same sequence under 1 other name. The record is from RNAcentral. Lineage: Eukaryota; Cercozoa; Cercomonadida; Cercomonadidae.
GAUUUCUGGUACGGCGCACUUGGCCCGCUUCGGUUACGAGGUAGAGUGCCGGUGUGCGCCUGCCAUACAUCUAGUGUACGUCUCUACUCUUCACUGGGUCAGGGUCGGAAUCUAGAUCAUUUACUUUGAAAAAAUUAGAGUGUUUAAAGCAGGCUUUUGCUAUGAAUACAUUAGCAUGGAAUAAUAAUCUAGGACUUCGGUUCUAUUUUGUUGGUUUCUAUAACUGAAGUAAUGAUUGAUAGGGAUAGUUGGGGGUGCUAGUAUUGGCCGGCCAGAGGUGAAAUUCUUGGAUUCGGUCAAGACUAACUUAUGCGAAAGCAUU